CGGGGGCUGGCUGGUUCGUCAGGUCUCAACAUUUGCUCUGGGCCUAAGUCGUUCCAACGGGAGCUGUCCCUGCGUUGGCCCUGGCCAGUCGCACACGGCGCCCACCUGCACUGCAGGUCCCAGGGACGGUUCACGAUCAACGGCCAAGGUGGCUCCCGU
Molecule: non-coding RNA, 159 nt
Filed under: Geminicoccaceae bacterium
Lineage: Bacteria; Pseudomonadati; Pseudomonadota; Alphaproteobacteria; Geminicoccales; Geminicoccaceae
Description: 6S RNA
Rfam family: 6S / SsrS RNA
About the family: E. coli 6S RNA was the first non coding RNA to be sequenced, but its function was unknown until recently. It consists of 184 nucleotides that fold into an extended hairpin structure with a large single-stranded internal bulge. The 6S RNA specifically associates with RNA polymerase holoenzyme containing the sigma70 specificity factor.
Source: RNAcentral